GGUGCUAAUCCUAGAAAAUUCUUCGUAGUCCGGAUUGGAGUCUGCAACUCGACUCCAUGAAGUCGGAAUCGCUAGUAAUCGCGAGUCAGCAUGUCGCGGUGAAUACGUUCUCGGGUCUUGUACACACCGCCCGUCACACCAUGGAAGUGGAUUGCACCAGAAGUAGAUAGUCUAACCUUCGGGAGGGCGUUUACCACGGUGUGCUUCAUGACUGGGGUGAAGUCGUAACAAGGUAGCCGUAGGGGGAACCUGUGGCUGNGAUCACCUCCUU
Molecule: ribosomal RNA, 271 nt
Filed under: uncultured SAR86 cluster bacterium
Lineage: Bacteria; Pseudomonadati; Pseudomonadota; Gammaproteobacteria
Description: partial 16S ribosomal RNA
Rfam family: Bacterial small subunit ribosomal RNA
Source: RNAcentral